CCUACGGGUGGCAGCAGUGAGGAAUAUUGGUCAAUGGACGAGAGUCUGAACCAGUCAAGUAGCGUGAAGGAUGACUGCCCUAUGGGUUGUAAACUUCUUUUAUAUGGGAAUAAAAUGUUCCACGUGUGGGAUUUUGUAUGUACCAUAUGAAUAAGGAUCGGCUAACUCCGUGCCAGCAGCCGCGGUAAUACGGAGGAUCCGAGCGUUAUCCGGAUUUAUUGGGUUUAAAGGGAGCGUAGGUGGAUUAUUAAGUCAGUUGUGAAAGUUUGCGGCUCAACCGUAAAAUUGCAGUUGAAACUGGCAGUCUUGAGUACAGUAGAGGUGGGCGGAAUUCGUGGUGUAGCGGUGAAAUGCUUAGAUAUCACGAAGAACUCCGAUUGCGAAGGCAGUUCACUGGACUGCAACUGACACUGAGGCUCGAAAGUGUGGGUAUCAAACAGGAUUAGAUACCCUAGUAGUC
This 460-nucleotide ribosomal RNA is filed under the name uncultured bacterium. Its description in RNAcentral is "partial 16S ribosomal RNA". It matches the Rfam family "Bacterial small subunit ribosomal RNA", at positions 338 to 795 of the family's 1533-position model. The record is from RNAcentral.